UCUCCCCGAAAGCUAUUUAGGUAGCGCCUCGUGAAUUCAUCUCCGGGGGUAGAGCACUGUUUCGGCUAGGGGGCCAUCCCGGCUUACCAACCCGAUGCAAACUGCGAAUACCGGAGAAUGUUAUCACGGGAGACACACGGCGGGUGCUAACGUCCGUCGUGAAGAGGGAAACAACCCAGACCGCCAGCUAAGGUCCCAAAGUCAUGGUUAAGUGGGAAACGAUGUGGGAAGGCCCAGACAGCCAGGAUGUUGGCUUAGAAGCAGCCAUCAUUUAAAGAAAGCGUAAUAGCUCACUGGUCGAGUCGGCCUGCGCGGAAGAUGUAACGGGGCUAAACCAUGCACCGAAGCUGCGGCAGCGACACUGUGUGUUGUUGGGUAGGGGAGCGUUCUGUAAGCCUGUGAAGGUGUGUCGUGAGGCAUGCUGGAGGUAUCAGAAGUGCGAAUGCUGACAUAAGUAACGAUAAAGCGGGUGAAAAGCCCGCUCGCCGGAAGACCAAGGGUUCCUGUCCAACGUUAAUCGGGGCAGGGUGAGUCGACCCCUAAGGCGAGGCCGAAAGGCGUAGUCGAUGGGAAACGGGUUAAUAUUCCCGUACUUGGUGUUACUGCGAAGGGGGGACGGAGAAGGCUAUGUUGGCCGGGCGACGGUUGUCCCGGUUUAAGCGUGUAGGUGUGUGUUCCAGGUAAAUCCGGUUCACUUUAACACUGAGGCGUGACGACGAGGCACUACGGUGCUGAAGCAACAAAUGCCCUGCUUCCAGGAAAAGCCUCUAAGCAUCAGGUAACAUCAAAUCGUACCCCAAACCGACACAGGUGGUCAGGUAGAGAAUACCAAGGCGCUUGAGAGAACUCGGGUGAAGGAACUAGGCAAAAUGGUGCCGUAACUUCGGGAGAAGGCACGCUGACACGUAGGUGAAGUGAUUUACUCAUGGAGCUGAAGUCAGUCGAAGAUACCAGCUGGCUGCAACUGUUUAUUAAAAACACAGCACUGUGCAAACACGAAAGUGGACGUAUACGGUGUGACGCCUGCCCGGUGCCGGAAGGUUAAUUGAUGGGGUCAGCGCAAGCGAAGCUCCUGAUCGAAGCCCCGGUAAACGGCGGCCGUAACUAUAACGGUCCUAAGGUAGCGAAAUUCCUUGUCGGGUAAGUUCCGACCUGCACGAAUGGCGUAAUGAUGGCCAGGCUGUCUCCACCCGAGACUCAGUGAAAUUGAACUCGCUGUGAAGAUGCAGUGUACCCGCGGCAAGACGGAAAGACCCCGUGAACCUUUACUAUAGCUUGACACUGAACAUUGAGCCUUGAUGUGUAGGAUAGGUGGGAGGCUUUGAAGUGUGGACGCCAGUCUGCAUGGAGCCGACCUUGAAAUACCACCCUUUAAUGUUUGAUGUUCUAACGUGGACCCGUUACCCGGGUUGCGGACAGUGUCUGGUGGGUAGUUUGACUGGGGCGGUCUCCUCCUAAAGAGUAACGGAGGAGCACGAAGGUUGGCUAAUCCUGGUCGGACAUCAGGAGGUUAGUGCAAUGGCAUAAGCCAGCUUGACUGCGAGCGUGACGGCGCGAGCAGGUGCGAAAGCAGGUCAUAGUGAUCCGGUGGUUCUGAAUGGAAGGGCCAUCGCUCAACGGAUAAAAGGUACUCCGGGGAUAACAGGCUGAUACCGCCCAAGAGUUCAUAUCGACGGCGGUGUUUGGCACCUCGAUGUCGGCUCAUCACAUCCUGGGGCUGAAGUAGGUCCCAAGGGUAUGGCUGUUCGCCAUUUAAAGUGGUACGCGAGCUGGGUUUAGAACGUCGUGAGACAGUUCGGUCCCUAUCUGCCGUGGGCGCUGGAGAACUGAGGGGGGCUGCUCCUAGUACGAGAGGACCGGAGUGGACGCAUCACUGGUGUUCGGGUUGUCAUGCCAAUGGCACUGCCCGGUAGCUAAAUGCGGAAGAGAUAAGUGCUGAAAGCAUCUAAGCACGAAACUUGCCCCGAGAUGAGUUCUCCCUGAGACUUUAGGUCUCCUGAAGGAACGUUGAAGACGACGACGUUGAUAGGCCGGGUGUGUAAGCGCAGCGAUGCGUUGAGCUAACCGGUACUAAUGAACCGUGAGGCUUAACCUUACAACGCCGAAG
Molecule: ribosomal RNA, 2107 nt
Filed under: Salmonella enterica subsp. enterica serovar Enteritidis
Lineage: Bacteria; Pseudomonadati; Pseudomonadota; Gammaproteobacteria; Enterobacterales; Enterobacteriaceae
Description: partial 23S ribosomal RNA
Rfam family: Bacterial large subunit ribosomal RNA
Source: RNAcentral